UACUAGAGUAGCACUCGCAUAUCAAUAAGCGGAGGAAAAGAAACUAACAAGGAUUCCCCUAGUAACGGCGAGUGAAGCGGGAAGAGCUCAAAUUUGAAAUCUUAAAGGGUUUCCCUUUACGAAUUGUAGUUUAAAGAAGUGUUAUCUGUUGAGGUUUUGGUAAAAGUUCUUUGGAAUAGGACAUCAUAGAGGGUGAGAAUCCCGUAUUUGACCUUUACUUUCAACUUUGUGAUACACUUUCAAAGAGUCGGAUUGUUUGGGAAUGCAGUCCAAAAUGGGUGGUAAAUUUCAUCUAGAGCUAAAUAUUGGCGAGAGACCGAUAGCGAACAAGUACCGUGAGGGAAAGAUGAAAAGAACUUUGAAAAGAGAGUUAAACAGUACGUGAAAUUGUCAAAAGGGAAGCGUUUGACACCAGUGUUGUUUUUCUGAAAAUCAAUUAAAGAACUGUUUAUGCUAAGUUGUUUAGACUUUAUCAGCUAUCUGUUUAGUUUUGAGCUUUUCUUUAAUGCACUUUUCAGUUAACAAGUCAACAUCAAUUUCUUUUGCUGUAAAAAAGCUUGAGGAAGGUGGCUUGAGAUUCGUCUUAAGUGUUUAUAGCCUCUUGCCUAUGCAGUCGGAGAGAUUGAGGUCUGCAGCGUAGAUCCUUCGGGGCUAAAUGCAUUUGUGCUAAGUUAUAGCAUUUUAUAGACAACUUGUUGACUAUGAUUUGUCUUGUAGCUUACUCGCUUAUGUUAUUUUACCUACGCUUAGGAUGUUGAGCGCAUGUCUCUCUCU
Molecule: ribosomal RNA, 774 nt
Filed under: uncultured Neocallimastigales
Lineage: Eukaryota; Fungi; Neocallimastigomycota; Neocallimastigomycetes; Neocallimastigales
Description: partial large subunit ribosomal RNA
Rfam family: Eukaryotic large subunit ribosomal RNA
Source: RNAcentral